RNAcentral lists this transfer RNA (76 nucleotides) under Bryobacterales bacterium. Its description in RNAcentral is "tRNA-Thr". It matches the Rfam family "tRNA". Rfam says of the family: Transfer RNA (tRNA) molecules are approximately 80 nucleotides in length. RNAcentral also lists the same sequence under 2 other names. The record is from RNAcentral. Lineage: Bacteria; Pseudomonadati; Acidobacteriota; Terriglobia; Bryobacterales.
GCCACCCUAGCUCAGUUGGUAGAGCAGCGGUUUCGUAAACCGCAGGUCGUCGGUUCAAGUCCGACGGGUGGCUCCA